Leptonychotes weddellii (Weddell seal) is the source of this 1001-nucleotide long non-coding RNA. RefSeq lists it as uncharacterized. Lineage: Eukaryota; Metazoa; Chordata; Mammalia; Carnivora; Phocidae. The record is from RefSeq and is a predicted model, not a curated record.
CCCGCGCCCGCGCGCUGCUGUCCUCGUGGCACUCCGGGCCCCCCGCUCGGCAAGCCCGCCCGGCGCCUGCCUCUUCUCCGCGGCCUCCUGCAGGAGGACAAACCAGAAAGUCCUGACCCCGGCGCCCACGGCGCUGGAGCCGGCGCUUCCCUUUGAAUAACCCUCCGCCCCCGCCGGCCCCCGCCCCGGCGACUCCCGGGCGGUGACCUCAUUCCCAGCGCCCCGAGGAUAAAAGUUUUAUUUCAGAGGGAAGCACAAAGCCACCACUGUGUUGAACAAAGCAGGGCUUCUCCAGGACUCAAGGACGUUGCAGAGGGAGACAGAAAGGCAUUAGCUCUUGACUAAGAGAAGUCCAUGGCCAGGCCUCUGGGGCCCCAGCAGCUCCAUCCCUGUGGCACUCCAGCGCCUGGUCUCACCGUCACCACAGAGACUCCUGUCUCAGGCCCUGUUACGCUUAUUAAAUCAGCCCCAGACCUGAGCCUGCCCCUCCCCCAGCCUGUCCUCCCAGAGGAACAGGACUCAGUUUGCCUCCUGGAUUCCCACAUUCAGCCACUGAAAAAUGUAAAGCCACAGCCUUGGUCUACCUUCUUAUUUACUUUCACACGCUCGUUCAUCCGACUCAUAUCAGCUGAGCGCCUACCAAUGCCAUGUGCAGUCCUAAGUACCGGGAAUUCUGUCCCAUCUUGGGGUUCCCACGUCUGUCCUCUAGCUCAAGUCACAAAGCUGAGUGGAUCGCAGCCCCGCUAUGGUGAUGCUCUCCAACUGGGAUGGUCACAGUCGGUGAUUUUGACCAACCCCCGCUCCCCGCCAUCCUUAGACGUUGUACAUGCUGCUGGAUGCUCCUGAUCCUCCUCGGUGCGGCCCCACGGCCUUUGAAGCACUGAGUGCCGUGAAGCAGGGAGGCUCCAGAGAUCCACAGCAGGAGGAAGGAGGAGGGACUCCCACAUGGGAGCUCGGCACCUGCCCUUUCUGCUCUUCUCUGCAGGCUCUUGAAGCAACCC